UACGAACCGAGCGAACGUUGUUCGGAAUCACUGGGCUUAAAGGGCGCGUAGGCGGGUGCUCAAGUCUGUGGUGAAAUCCUCCGGCUCAACCGGAGAACUGCCAUGGAUACUGGGUGUCUCGAGGGUGGUAGGGGUAUGCGGAACUAUCGGUGGAGCGGUGAAAUGCGUUGAUAUCGAUAGGAACUCCGGUGGCGAAGGCGGCAUACUGGACCACUUCCGACGCUGAGGCGCGAAAGCCAGGGGAGCAAACGGG
RNAcentral lists this ribosomal RNA (253 nucleotides) under uncultured bacterium. RNAcentral describes it as "partial 16S ribosomal RNA". It matches the Rfam family "Bacterial small subunit ribosomal RNA", at positions 524 to 776 of the family's 1533-position model. The record is from RNAcentral.